UGAAGAUGCAGUGUACCCGCGGCAAGACGGAAAGACCCCGUGAACCUUUACUAUAGCUUGACACUGAACAUUGAGCCUUGAUGUGUAGGAUAGGUGGGAGGCUUUGAAGUGUGGACGCCAGUCUGCAUGGAGCCGACCUUGAAAUACCACCCUUUAAUGUUUGAUGUUCUAACGUGGACCCGUUACCCGGGUUGCGGACAGUGUCUGGUGGGUAGUUUGACUGGGGCGGUCUCCUCCUAAAGAGUAACGGAGGAGCACGAAGGUUGGCUAAUCCUGGUCGGACAUCAGGAGGUUAGUGCAAUGGCAUAAGCCAGCUUGACUGCGAGCGUGACGGCGCGAGCAGGUGCGAAAGCAGGUCAUAGUGAUCCGGUGGUUCUGAAUGGAAGGGCCAUCGCUCAACGGAUAAAAGGUACUCCGGGGAUAACAGGCUGAUACCGCCCAAGAGUUCAUAUCGACGGCGGUGUUUGGCACCUCGAUGUCGGCUCAUCACAUCCUGGGGCUGAAGUAGGUCCCAAGGGUAUGGCUGUUCGCCAUUUAAAGUGGUACGCGAGCUGGGUUUAGAACGUCGUGAGACAGUUCGGUCCCUAUCUGCCGUGGGCGCUGGAGAACUGAGGGGGGCUGCUCCUAGUACGAGAGGACCGGAGUGGACGCAUCACUGGUGUUCGGGUUGUCAUGCCAAUGGCACUGCCCGGUAGCUAAAUGCGGAAGAGAUAAGUGCUGAAAGCAUCUAAGCACGAAACUUGCCCCGA
This 749-nucleotide ribosomal RNA is filed under the name Salmonella enterica. RNAcentral describes it as "partial 23S ribosomal RNA". It matches the Rfam family "Bacterial large subunit ribosomal RNA", at positions 2054 to 2802 of the family's 2925-position model. The record is from RNAcentral. Lineage: Bacteria; Pseudomonadati; Pseudomonadota; Gammaproteobacteria; Enterobacterales; Enterobacteriaceae.